UUAAGUGUAUUCUGAUUGAGGCCUGUAGGUGGCGCAUUGCACUAGAGUGAUGAGGAAUGACGUUAGGGUCAAAAGGGCAAAGUCAUUAAAAGAAAGCGCCAAAACGCUGCAGACACUAAUGUGUGUUUUCUCAUUUUAUACAGGUUAGCAGUCUGCAAUCUGUCCUCGGAGAACAACCCAGUAUCAGCACCAGCAAAACAUUCAAACAAGCUCUUCAACUCUUGAGUCUAAACACCGCAGAUGAUGCCACAGUUGUGCACACAAACCCUGUAGUGAAAAGUGUGGUGAAUAAGAAACCUUCAAAAGAGGAACAUCCCUGGUCCUCCUGUGUUGGACAUAAUUAUUUAAAUUAGUCAAAGCUCUGUGCGUCAGUUAAAACCUCUGAAAGUAACCCAGCAGCGGUGGUUUUAGAAAAGCAGCGGAUACUUCCUUUCAGCUCAUCACAAGGAGUAAAUGAGAUGAGGACAUGGAAAAACACACGCAGAAAGAUGCUGGAGCAGAAACCACAGAGGAGCAAAGAACAAGAGCAAAGGGAGAAACAGAGGACAGAAAUGAAACCCAAACCAGUGGAGAGAAAAACCGACAGAAGCUUGUUAGAUGUGACAGUAUGGAGGGAAGAAGACCAAACUUGUCAGAUGAUCCAGAGGAGCCUGUAAAGAUUGAUUCUGAUGUUCUCAAGAGCAGAACAAUCUGAAACAGAUUAGUGAACGGUUCUCUCUUGUUGACUGAUAACUGUGUUUUACUGCUCUGAUGCUGAUUCACUUCUGGAUCACACAGAGUUUUGUGUUUUAAAACAAAAUAGUUUGUUUCGUAUUGCACUGCCUUCCAUGUAUAAUGUAUAUAUUUGUAUUACUGUAUAUUUUGGUAUAUUUCUGUAUAAAACACUGUACAUCACAUAUGCUGAAAUACUGGAUCACAGAUAUUAUGACAUCUCCAGAUAAAUAAAGAAAGAAAAGUGCAGUAAAAUACACUAUUUCAGAAAUGUUUCAGUAAUGAUUCCGCUCUCUUCUGCGUUCUUUUCUUCUUUAAUGUUAACUGAAGGCAAAUCUAAAUUAGGCACUAUUUUAACUUUAAUGAACAAUUACAGUGACAAUGACAUCCUCACAUUAUAUUAUCUGAAAUAUUGCCCAUCCCUGAUUAUAUGGUUAUAUGGU
Carassius gibelio (silver crucian carp) is the source of this 1154-nucleotide long non-coding RNA. RefSeq lists it as uncharacterized. The transcript has 5 exons. Lineage: Eukaryota; Metazoa; Chordata; Actinopteri; Cypriniformes; Cyprinidae. The record is from RefSeq and is a predicted model, not a curated record.